This 116-nucleotide non-coding RNA is filed under the name Acetohalobium arabaticum. RNAcentral describes it as "SAM-I sequence". It matches the Rfam family "SAM riboswitch aptamer (S box leader)". From Rfam's summary of the family: The SAM riboswitch is found upstream of a number of genes which code for proteins involved in methionine or cysteine biosynthesis in Gram-positive bacteria. The record is from RNAcentral. RNAcentral also lists the same sequence under 1 other name. Lineage: Bacteria; Bacillati; Bacillota; Clostridia; Halanaerobiales; Halobacteroidaceae.
CUCUUAUCAAGAGUGGUGGAGGGACUGGCCCGAUGAAGCCCGGCAACCAUCCUUGGCUAUAGCCAGGGAAGUGGUGCCAACUCCUGCAAUGUUGCAAUGACAUUGAAAGAUAAGAG